UAUAAGACUGGGAUAACUUCGGGAAACCGGAGCUAAUGCCGGAUAACAUUUGGAACCGCAUGGUUCUAAAGUAAAAGAUGGUUUUGCUAUCACUUAUAGAUGGACCCGCGCCGUAUUAGCUAGUUGGUAAGGUAACGGCUUACCAAGGCAACGAUACGUAGCCGACCUGAGAGGGUGAUCGACCACACUGGAACUGAGACACGGUCCAGACUCCUACGGGAGGCAGCAGUAGGGAAUCUUCCGCAAUGGACGAAAGUCUGACGGAGCAACGCCGCGUGAGUGAUGAAGGUUUUCGGAUCGUAAAACUCUGUUAUUAGGGAAGAACAAAUGUGUAAGUAACUGUGCACAUCUUGACGGUACCUAAUCAGAAAGCCACGGCUAACUACGUGCCAGCAGCCGCGGUAAUACGUAGGUGGCAAGCGUUAUCCGGAAUUAUUGGGCGUAAAGCGCGCGUAGGCGGUUUCUUAAGUCUGAUGUGAAAGCCCACGGCUCAACCGUGGAGGGUCAUUGGAAACUGGGAAACUUGAGUACAGAAGAGGAAAGUGGAAUUCCAUGUGUGGCGGUGAAAUGCGCAGAGAUAUGGAGGAACACCAGUGGCGAAGGCGACUUUCUGGUCUGUAACUGACGCUGAUGUGCGAAAGCGUGGGGAUCAAACAGGAUUAGAUACCCUGGUAGUCCACGCCGUAAACGAUGAGUGCUAAGUGUUAGGGGGUUUCCGCCCCUUAGUGCUGCAGCUAACGCAUUAAGCACUCCGCCUGGGGAGUACGACCGCAAGGUUGAAACUCAAG
RNAcentral lists this ribosomal RNA (788 nucleotides) under uncultured Staphylococcus sp. Its description in RNAcentral is "bacterial SSU rRNA". It matches the Rfam family "Bacterial small subunit ribosomal RNA", at positions 131 to 905 of the family's 1533-position model. Lineage: Bacteria; Bacillati; Bacillota; Bacilli; Caryophanales; Staphylococcaceae. The record is from RNAcentral.